Long non-coding RNA from Hibiscus syriacus, 306 nucleotides. RefSeq lists it as uncharacterized. NCBI's taxonomy places the organism in Eukaryota, Viridiplantae, Streptophyta, Magnoliopsida, Malvales, Malvaceae. The record is from RefSeq and is a predicted model, not a curated record. The transcript has 2 exons.
CAUCUAUGGCUGCAACCGGAGAUCAAGCUGCCUUCAUUCUUAGCAUUCCAAAACGAAUAAAAUGACAGAUGAAACUCUUCGUACAUCUGCCUUUCCGAGCACCCAUGUAAAGGAAAAGUGGGCUAAAAAUCUGUACAUUGCAGCAAUUUGUUAUGGAAAAGACUGCUAAUUCUGGACUGUAAAAUUAUUAGAUGCUCUUUGAAGGAAAAAAAUACAAUUUGAAGUUUGAAACUUGAAAGCUUUGCUGUAUUCUUGGUAAUGAGUAUAGUGGAGUUAAUUCUGCUAUAAGAUCUCAAAAGAAUCUAA